UACGUAGGGUGCUAGCGUUGUUCGGAAUCAUUGGGCGUAAAGCGCGUGUAGGUGGUUAGGAAAGUUGGGUGUGAAAUCCCUCGGCUCAACCGAGGAAGGGCACUCAAAACUAACUAGCUUGAGAGUGGUAGAGGAAGGUGGAAUUCCUAGUGUAGAGGUGAAAUUCGUAGAUAUUAGGAGGAAUACCGGAGGCGAAGGCGGCCUUCUGGACCAUUUCUGACACUGAGACGCGAAAGCGUGGGUAGCAAACAGGAUUAGAAACCCGCGUAGUCC
This 273-nucleotide ribosomal RNA is filed under the name uncultured bacterium. RNAcentral describes it as "partial 16S ribosomal RNA". It matches the Rfam family "Bacterial small subunit ribosomal RNA", at positions 524 to 796 of the family's 1533-position model. The record is from RNAcentral.